RNA transcript from Cebus imitator (Panamanian white-faced capuchin), 14763 nucleotides. It is a transcript of the gene named ATP synthase subunit f, mitochondrial-like, with no coding region annotated. The record is from RefSeq and is a predicted model, not a curated record. NCBI's taxonomy places the organism in Eukaryota, Metazoa, Chordata, Mammalia, Primates, Cebidae. The transcript has a single exon.
AGUGCUAGAAUUACAGAUGUAAGCCACCAUGCCUGGCCAUAAUGAUUCUGUUUAAAAGAACUGAAAAUAACUGAUUUCUGUCCCCUACAGGGAGAAUAGCUCUCACUUGUUUCCAUGACUGCUUCCGCUUUUGCCACCAUCACGAUUUAGCAAGAAAUCUGAAGCUUGGGCCGUGUCUCUAAAACACAUUGUGUUGCAGAGCCAAGAAGCAGCUGGCCAUGAGGUCUACAGAGCACAGAGCAGACCGUGCUGCUUCAAAAUACACGAACAAAAUGCUCGCGUUAGAGGUUCAUUACUUGGAGCUUUAGAAGUGGUUUGGUUAUCAGGAAUUUUCUGCAGAAAAUAUCGAAACUCCUGGGAGGAAGAAAACUUUAAGUUAUCUCAUAGCUCAGCAAAGACGAACUGACAGUCAGCUAUGCUAAAACCAGGGGAAAUCACAGCUGAGGUGGGAGGACCUGAGCAGCAGGGCGAGAAGCAGUCCUAGGGCAGGGGAGGCAACAGGACAGGAGAGACGCCUCACCCCCUUUGCAGGGUGAGGUUCCCAGGUCCUGCCAUACCCCUAAUGCUCCUAGGACACCAAGCCAGGUUUAGAGGCCCCUGGAGCUGGAGAGAAGAGGAUGAGCUGUGUGUCCUGGGGUAAGAUGGCCCCUGUGCCCUGUUCCACCUGCUAGUUACCCAUGGCCACGGGCUUUUUUCCUUCUGCACACCCCUCUCAUGGCAACUUCAACACUGACAAGUGUAGGGAAGAAACGACCAUGGCCUCUUAGUGGGGAAGACCCUGUGUGUAAGGUCACAAGCCAAAUGCCACCUUGCCAUCAGCAACCCUAAUGUGUUGCUUUUCUUACCUUGGGCAUUUGCAGUAGGGAGACUGGUUUUAUAACACACUCACUCACGGUCUGUCUCCCUACUUCAUGAGAAGCCCCUUCAGAAUUCAGAUGGUUUUCACCCCUCAGUUCUCAUCAGGGGACCCACAUGAUGUUUAGUGGGAUGAAUACAUUGGAAUCUGGGGCUCUGUUUUCCUCUGCAUGUAAGUGACCCUGUCACUUGCUAACAGUGGUUGAAAGCCAUUCCAUGGCUGCUGUGGCCAGUGAGGAGGGUUCUGAGGACUGAGGCAGGCAGCAGGGUGAGACUUCAGGUGUGGGCUAGGAGCCCCGGCAUGGCAGUGAGCAGCUCCCUAUCUCCUGGGAAGAAGAAACCUGGCUCCCACCUGCUGCCCUCCUCUUACCUGCUCCCUACAGAGCGCUGUGCCAGCCCUGAGCAUGCCCCCAGUACCAUUCUCAGUAAGCCCAGAACACAAAGGCCUCUUCAUGUUCAUUUUUGAAAAAAUUAAUUUUCCUAGGAAGGGCUGGUGAAGAAGGCGACACCUUUAUGCUCUCCUAUCUUUUGCAGGGCUGGUCACAGCCGUGCGGUGGUAGAGGUACUCUCCCGGCCACCCUCCGUGAUCAGCCUUAACCCUUGCACCUACUGACCUCUAGCUCCUUCACACACUGUCUGUGACCCAGACCCACCUCAAAGUCCUUCUGCCUCAGUGUAAUGCAUCUUAUUCUACAGCCUGCAUUUCCAAUACACAGCACACACACACACCCAGAAGCCAUCUCAGUAGUUAGCCUGCAUGGUUUCACAGAGAACGACCACAGGCACAAUUAGGCAUUGAAGAAAAGCUCUCCGAUGAUGCCGCUGAUUUGGCUGAAAUCCCUCAAGUCUGAUGAUAGCACUGAGAUACCAACCAGUCCACGAAAACAACUGACUGCUGCAUCUUGGGUGAGUGGGUGGUGUACUCGGGUGGAGGCUGCCUGGGUCUUGGGUCUCUGAUGAGAAGGGUUUUACACCAACGCAGCAGCCCUUGAAAUUAAUUUUCUAUUAAAAUCUAAGCCUCUCAGUCUGAUAAACAAACUGCACAUUUACUGUGGAUUCUGUAUCUGACCUUUUACCUGGUUUUGUCAACAAAAUUUACUGUAUUCAUAAAUACUAAUGUUCUCAUUUGGUUCCCUAUCUUUAGUAUACUGUAAAUUAUAAGCAAGUACAUAAAUGUCUUGGCCUGGUAAUAUAGUGGCCUGAAAUGACUUCCUUUUUCCUUUAAAGAUGUUGCAUAUUUUAAUGGUAGGUGUUUUUAAUUAACUUGAAGUGCCAUAAACUGCCCAUGUAUGAACAAAGACAAGUGAGUUGCAUUAAAUUAAAAGUGCUGUAUCUGACUAAUGUUAACAAAUUAGGCAUGCCUUCAAGAUGCACAAUUUCUGUUUGGAGUUGUCAUCUUAAUGCAGAGAUACCAAAGCUCUGAGAAUAGCCACACCAAAUGAGCCUUUCAAAACUAAUAUUUUGGGCAAUCAAUUAGGAAUAUGAUUUCAAGCUUUAAAAAGAUUCCCACUCGGGCAUCUCAACAUAGCAUCCCUUCUCUUUUUCCUUCAUAAAUGAGCUCAAUUUGGGGAUCUGAUCUUUUUGCCAAUAUCAGUCCAAAUUAGCACUGUAAAUAUUGAAAUCAAAUGUUACUACUUGGCCUAAUUUUCUUUCAGCCUGCAGUUAAUCUUUAUUCAGCCUUAAUGAGUAUUUAUUGUGUGACCCUGACAGCUUGCUACUGCUGUGAUAAAUUAUCUGACUCAAGUCCGAUUAAAAAUGCAACCCUGAGUGCUAAUUAUCUCAACAGACCUGCUUAAUAAUAGCAUUUCUUGUCAAUUAUGGAAUCUCAGCAUGGGUGUCAAUAGCAACAAAUGCACAGGCCUACCUUGGACACUGACUUCCCAUAAUGCCCUUUUACUUGCCAUAUGUAAAUCAGAGUGCUUCUGUACCUGUGAUGACCUUUUAUUAGCAAACUGUCAAAAUGAUAAAACUAGCCAUAGCAAAACCCCCACCACCAUACAAUUAGGGGCUACAGCUUAGGACAACAGGAGGGCAAUCAGACACAGCUAAUUAUGAUGCAUCUUACUUAUGGCCUGUCCAGCAGGAAGAAUGAGCUGUUUUUGAAAUUUAUGCCAGCUUCAGCAUGGCCCUCAGGAGGGGAGCUGCUGGCAAGUGGGUUAAGGGGGAGGGGAGAGGCAAGGAACUGCGUAUUUCUACAGUUUUUCUGGGAAUCUGGAAUUCAGUCACUUGCUGUGUGACACUGAAUAAAUCACUUCAUCAGAAAAAUGGAGGCAACACCAUUCACCUCAUUGGGGGCUAGGUGAGUGAGGGGAAUGGAAGGUAACAAACGUAGAAACACCUAGCACAGUGCCAUCCCAUAGAAGGUGCUGAAUAUCUGCUCCCUUUCUUCCCAUUCACCUUUUCCUUUCCUAACGAUCAAGAUAGCAGACAACAACAGCUAGAAGUACCAUUUAUGGAGCUCUUGCACGUACCCUGCACAAUGUCUUAUACGCAGCCUUCCUCCUUCACCCCUGUGGUCAGAACUGAUGAGAACAGUGGAGCCGAAAGCUACCCUACCCAGAUCAUUUAGUGCAGUCUCCCCUUUGUAGGUACAAAUGUCUUAAAGAAUUCAAAGGCAAACACGACUCUCUUCUCAAAGGGUUAUCUAAGUCAAACAUUUUGCAACCUGCUUUGCUAAUAGCAAAUGGAGUAGUAUGUAUUUAAUUGAGCAAUAACUACAUGCCAGUCACCAAGGGGAGUGCUUCACAUCCCUGUAAGGUGGCUACUCUUAGCAUCUUCCCUCUGGAGACUAGGAAAGAAGAAAGGUUAAACGACUUGUGUGACAUCCGCAACUCGAAAGUUUCAGAGCCCAGGCUUGAGCUAGAGCCAAAUACCCACUUCUCAAAAUAGGAAAGCAAUACAUUUAAAUUACCUCCACAAACGCUUUUAGUAGAAAAAGACAGGGUGACACAGGCCUGAGAAUGUUCCCGAUGCCGUUAUCUGUUAUGUGGCACUCUAACGAUAAGGAACAAUGAACAAUACGUGCCUUUUGGGCUCUCUGCUGUGACAGACCACAAAGGCAGCAGGGCAGGAGGCAGGUCUGAAACAUAAGCCUUGGUUUUCUCAUGGGGCAAGGGGUGCUGGGAGUGAAGUAAGAUGAGGCAGUAUUUGGUCACAUGACCUCAACCAUUAUCAACCUUGGGUGGUAAUUUAUGGGGCUCUAACCUCCUCUGGCUUAAUCCAGAGAGGCUUGUUUUUCAAGAUGAAGCAAUUCUGUCACAUCAAGGCAUUCCUGCCUCACCUGCCCACCUUGCCCAGGCCAACCUGACAAGAACCCGGAAUACAGCAGGGUUCUGAGCAUAACUUGAAGCAAUAUCCUCAGAUACAGUUCUGAAUUUUCCCAGAUUGGAAGGGCACUGUCUCAAGUGAACCCCUAUUAAAACACAGAUGUUCACAUCCCCUACAUCCGGACUGCCCGGCCUAGGCAGACAGAACACAGAAUCCAUCCUGUUCUGUAAGGGGCAAACGGCAUUUCCCUCGUGGCCACACCCAGGUUGUGAUAAGGAUGAGGGUCGUGGGAAACAAUGCAGGGAAAGGAGGGUAGUGUAGACGCCUCCACUGCUAGCUAGAGGCCGCGCUACAUGGCUAAUGAAGCCCAGAUGCUGGUCUCUCAGUGACUGACCCGGGGAGAUGCGAGAAAGGAAUGCGAUCAUUUCCGUCUGAAGUAACGUGCUCCCUCUUCCCUAACACCUCGGGCCCACUUCAUUACUUCCUCCACAGAUGAUCUCAAAUUGGGAAGCCAAUCCUUCCCCUGGAAAUGAUGCCAAGUUAGUGCCACGAGGGUGUAAAUCAAGUGUUUCAUGAACACUGUGUGGGCUAAUUUCUUUCCAGGGGUACUCAAGUCAGACAUCUCCCUCUCAUGAGCAUUCGCUGCUUUCCCAUAAAGUGAGCCUGCCUGUGCUUCCUUUGAUGAGUGCUGCUAAUUGUCAUUUGGGGUGAGCUCCAAAGCUCUUUCUCUAGGGCAUUAGCUGAGAGUUAAUGCGUUCCACAGAGAUAUCUGGGGCCGUGUUCAACAUUCCUGACGCUUCUUAUCACCCUGUUCUUUCAAGGUAAACCCAGAUUUCUGCCGGGAAUAAAGGCUUGUGGGUUUAAGUCUGUCUCCUGAUUUUCAUACUUUGAUUCCUGACACAAAGCAAUGCCGAUGUGGAAAUUAUUUUGUACCACAUUUCCUCCUUGGCGUGUCCUUCAACAGCCAUUCAAAUUCCACUGCGGUUUCACAGGAACUAUGGAAACAUGUCCUCUAUAGAAGUUUAGCAUGAAAGCUAUUACCCUACUGGGCAGUGCCCAAUGGUCCGACACUAUUUACAUUCCCUCUGAACACUAUUACAAAAGGAACUACAUCUUGCUGAACACUUUAGCAACAAGGAACAUAAUACAUGUGCCCGGUGUGCGGUUAGAUUCAUAGCUGUAGUCUCUGUAUUCCAAAUUGUUCUAUGCACGAGUCCAGUGUAAGAAAUAGCGUGUCUCAAUGGCUGUGUCUACAGUGCAUAAGGUCUUAAUAGCCUGUGCUUGCCUGAAGACCAAUCCCUUAAUUUUCUGGUGGUCUGACCAUUUGCCAUUUGGCUUCCUAUUUUGAAGAAUAUGCUUGUUGACACAUUUUACUGAAAAAUCAAGUAAUCUGAAAUACAAACUGUGACUCAAGUGGCGGACUAUAAUUUGUUUUGUAGGUGGGUGCCCAAUUUGAGCAGCUGUUAUCUACUUUUUUCAUUUUGUAAUGUUGACCAAAUCUUAAAAAAAUUUUGUUUCACAGUCCUGGUCUCAGGCCAACAAAAUAGUCCCUGGAACUUGACUGAAACAUAUGGAUGUGAGAUUUCUUUUUUUUUUUUUUUUUUUUUGGUAAAGUCAUGUUCUUCCAGAAAUUGUGCAGGGGUCACAUGAGAAUCUUGGGUGCUGCCACUUGCCUGACGCUGUUUCCACUAGCAACGAUCUUCCUGAAAACACAUGUCAGCAGUUAGCAAUCCAGCAGUAUGACUGAAGCCAGCCCUAGGGAGCUUCAUUUCUAUUUUGAGGCCUCACUGGGAUUCCAAGAGACAGAAAAAGAAUUUGGAUCCUUUGGUUUUGCAGGAAACUCCUUGCCUAAUUUAUAUUUCUCUAAGCCACACCCUGUUUGGAACCCUGUCAUCAGCUAUAUGGUGUGACUGAUAACACAUUUUGGAUUUCAAGAAAUAAUCUUUGACUCCUCUCCACUAUACAUUAUCAUCUUAAAACUAUCAUGAGACCCACAGGAAAACAGUUCUUCCAACUAGGAUCUUUGGAAAAGUGAUGCAGAACUUACUCUGGUACUUCUGGGGGUACUGAAGUAAAAAAAAAAAAUUUUAAAAAAACCUUGUUUCGACAGUGGACAACAGGACUCCAAGAUGGCAUCAGUCGUACCACUGAAGGACAAGAAACUUCUGGAGGUCAAAUGAGGAGAGCUGACAAGCUGGAUCUUGAUGUGGGACUUCAGCCCUACUGGCAUUGCUGGAGUGUUUCGAAGAGGUCACCACCAGUACUAUAACAAAUAUAUCAACGUGAAGAAGGGGAGCAUCUCAGGGCUUACCACGGUGCUGGCAUGCUACGUGGUCUUCAGCUACACCUUUUCCUACAAGGAGCUCAAGCAUGAGCGGCUCCACAGGUACCACUGAAGAAGAGGACACACUCUGCACUCCCCUCUACGACCUUCUUGGCUUGAGCCCCUCCAUAAGGAACACAGUCUCGAUCAUUGCUGAAUCAUUUCAUAUCCUAAUGGAAUUAACUUCCAAAUAAAAGAUGACUGGUAAAAAAAAAUCCCAAAAAAACAACAACAAAAAAAACUUGUUUCAGGGCUGGGGCUUAAGGACACCGCUGUUGGGCAAGCAGUUAGAAAAUAAAGUAAAUCCAGAAGCCGUGAUUUCAAGCAGAAUUGAGUGUGGGUGCUGGCUUUAUGAGGAUUAUGAUAGAGCUAGCAAGUAAGAUGUCCAGGAAAGCACAGCGGGGCAAGCUGUGCCCAGCACCAAUUUCCUGGACUAGGAAAAGCUGUCCUGAUCAUCCCCCUGAGUUUCAGUGCAGCACCUGCUGACUCCUGACCUUAGUGUGGGCCAGCAGGGUCCUCUGCACCUCUUCUCUAAGCCUCAGGCCUUGUGGGUCCCUAAAAUCAGAUAUUUUCAGUUUCUCCUCCUCCUCCUCUCUGAAAGUUACUACUACGUCCCACACCCAGGUCAAGUUACACCCGUCCAUUUUUAAUGGUUAUUUGAUUCCCUCCAGACCAGCAACCAAUACCUAUCAGGGGUUGUGGUUUGUCACCAUGCCUUUGCUGGGAGUUGUCAGAACCAGCUGCAUCAGCACUGCCUGGGCACUUGUUAGAAAGGCAGAAUCCUAGACUCUAUUGCCAGACCUGUGGGAUUUGUAUGCACUUGAAGUUUAAGAAGCACUGGUCUGAAAAUGAUAGGUCUUUCUUGAAAGUAACUUAUUUCUGAGAGUUCAUGAGUGAUCUAGGAUUCUGGGCCAAUUGACAGAAUAUUGACAAACAUAGCUGCCUUCUAAAACCUCAGAGGUGGAGUCUUCUUUCUGCAGGCAGACUCUGAUUUACAAUUUGACUUACAAUUUUUUUGACUUUAUGAUGGUGCAAAAGUAAUACACAUGCAAUAAAAAGAGUACUUUGAGUAUGCAUACAACCAUUUUGGUUUUCACUUUCAGUACAGCAUUCAACAAAUUAUUUAACCCUCUACUAUAAAAUAGGAUUUGUGUGAAUUGAUUUUGCCAGAAUAAAGGCUAAUAUAAGUGUUCUGAGGAUGUUUAAGGCAGGCUAGGCUAAGCUAUGAUGUUCGGUAGGUUAGGUGUAUUAAAAGCCUUUUUAAGUUAAUGUAUUUUUAACUUAUGAUGGGUUAUCAGGACAUAUCCCUAUUGUAAGUCAAGGAACAUCUGUAAUUGGAAAUCCAGGAGAUAGGUUUAAAUCUGUAGCAAAUUUAUUUUGUCUAAAAGAGAAAUAAAAUGUUUUGGUUACCACACACACCAAAUAAGAAUAUAUAAUUUUUGAACAAUUAACCUAAAGAAGAUAUAUCUAAUAAGCAAGCUGAAGGCACUUUGGGAUCUUCCAGUGUCUCAUAUUUAGCACCAGCUGACAGGGGCUGGGGCUAAAGCAGCCUUUGUUUUCACUGAAAUUCUACCGGAAAAAAGUUCUAGAGUCUCUAUGAUUCCCCCAAUGACCAACUGAGUUUCCCUGAAGUUUUGGAAUACUCAGUAUUCAGAGGGUUGUGAGUAGCUUCCAAAAAUAGAUUUCUGGGCUGCAUGUCAUCCCUAAUAGAACAGAAUCUCUAGAUGUUAGGGUAGGUAUUUGUGGUUUUAAAUCUCCCUAGUGACUGUGGAAGGACCACAAGUGGGAGCAAUUAUUCUAGGCCAAUGAGGUGUUCCAAAGGUGGCUUCCAUCUUAUGUUGCAGCUACAACUUCAAUCACAAACACAGAUUUAUACACAGAGAAUUUGAUGCUACAAGUCCUUGAACUUGUACCUACAUGUUUAGUAAACUACAGUGGUCUUUUAUUCCACUGAGGACAGCAUAUAACUGUAAUACGUAAAUAUAUGCUACCAACAAAUGCUACUGUCCUAAGGAGAAAAAAGAAUUCCAAGUGUUCUGAGUAGCUAUGCUAUGCCCACUGCAUUCAAUCAGAAAUGUUCCUAAAUUCUUUGUUUUCAAGCAAACUUGGCUAAAGUCUAGAUCAUUUUAUAGCGGAAUCAAAAAGCAAUUUGUUUUUCUUCUCAGAGGUGAAAAUAUAAAGCCUUUUAUCUGUUACAUAUGCCAUGAUAUCUAAAAAGCAGAUGAUAUUAUACAUUUUGAUUAUCUUCAAGAGUCGAUGUUUUUGUUUCUUUCUAAUAGAUUAUUUAAUUACUCUGCCAAAGAGUGCUCAUAAUAUCAUGUUUGCAAAAUAGCUUUAAAUGCUUUCAAAUACUGCCAAGAUGGAAAUAACUGAGUUAUUUUGCUUUCUGUGGACAGUUCAAUUUCAUUUCAUCUCUGAAUAUACUUUUUCUUAUGGAUUUAUAACUACAAUAGUGGCCAUCCAUAAAGAACAAUAUAAUAGGUACUAAUAAUCCGCCACUCACAGUCGUUCUGUUUUUGGUAUGUGUGGCUCACAAGAGCCUCUGCUAUUCCUUUCAAAUGAAUCUGCUUUCAUAUAGCAUUUAUUGCUUGACAUUUCACAUAAUUUAGUCAACACUCCUUAAUUUUUUCCCCUUUGAUCCAUACUUAUCUAUAAACCGACCAAACAAAAAAACUAUAAAAGUCUAAAUGUAGUGAAUUUCUCCUUUUUCCUCCCUUCUCCAUCUAUUUGGUUAUUUACAUCACUAGUGACAGACUAUAAUAAAUUGCCAUCACCAUCCACUCCUCACUGUGGAUCAAAGCUUUGGAGUGCUUGAUGAAAAUUUAUUAGACUUCUGCCUACUGAUUCCCACCUGGCUGCUCACCGCACCCUUGGCCAGCGCUGCCUUGAGCUGGCUGGAGACGGACACUCUGAUGACUAACAGCUGGGUGUCUCAGACAAGCCCUCUUUACCUCCAGCCUCCAUGCUUUCUUGCAUGCUUGCUUUCCCACUUCUCUUUCCUUAUCUUACACCUAGAUCUUUGGUCACAUCACGGCAGAGGCUGCCAAGUAUGUCAAAAAGAGGACAUGGGGGCGCAGGGGUGGGUGUGGCCUGCAGAUGGUCUAUGUGCUGUACCAGGCCACUGGAAGGUACUGCUGGACUGGUGAUAUUCGGGUCACUGAUGUGGGGUAGCCAGCCACUGAAAGGUCCUGGAGAGGCUGAAAAUCACAGGCCAUGCAGAGAGAAACUCUCUGAGGGGCUUUACUCUGGGAGAUUUAUAAGGCCCAGGGGUGUUUACAUCUGUGCUCAGUUUUGAGCAUUUUCCCGACUGCUUCAUGCCACAGUCCUCCAGCUUAUCACUGCAAACAUGACCAAAUAAAAACUACAUGUGGCAUUUGGUAUAACUUAUACAGAGGGGCAGCUGUUGCAUCCCCUUCACCUGAGGCUCAUCUAAUCAAACAAAUCUGGCAAGAAGGAUGACAGCCUUGAAGGUCCAAAAGCAGCAUUAUUUUUUUUCUGCAUUCCCUUUCCCACUAUGUAUGCCACAAUGUCUAUGGAAAAAGAGACCAAAUCAAAACCUUCUAAGAGUUGGUUGUGACUGUACCGACUUAGCAUUUGUAUACCCUUGUAUUUUCCGUCCCCUCUUCUGAAGAUUCACUUCAGGCAUAUGGGAGCACUUACAUCCAAAAAGUCAGGAACAGAAACACAGUGACCAUCUGUAUACUGAUAACCUACAAGGGUUUGCAGAUAGUUGCUAGCUCAUGUUUUUGGUGAUUAAAAAGAGAAUGGGGGCUCCUGGAUGUAAAAUAUCAUACGUGAAGGUAGCAUUUGAGUUUUGGAACUUUUUCACUUGGCUCAUUCCACAGUUGUGCAGCGUUCUACCCUAUGUCAGCAAUUAGAAAACUGAGGCAUUCACUUCACAGAUUUCUACCUGCCCUUAGAAGACAUCCAUUUUCAGUAUACCCAGGAUGUCCUGACGUAGCUAAAAUGUGCACCCACUAACUCACAAGGCUGCAAAGACGCCGAAUUCAGCAGGCCCUGCUGUCAGUCACACCCUCAUCCACAACAGCUGCUCUCAUCAGUUACAACCUUGGCAUCCCUGUCUAGAUGUUAUUGCCUGGACUCCUCCAAUUCCAUAGUCAUUCAGAUAAAUUCCAUAGAACAUUACUGACAUCUAGAUAUUGGGAGGCCAGGGAGAGUUGAGGCGAGAGAAAGGGACGAGUUGGGAAGGGAAGGAUCUGUGAUGCAAGGCAAUUGUCAACACAAGCAUUCCGGCUGAUCAUGCUGUUCCGUGGGCUCCGUUUGACCUCCACCAGCCUUUCCAUGGUCACGCCCUCCUGUCAUUCCCCAGUGUUUUCUUUUCCUGGGAAGCGGAGGCCUCCACACUGUCAGCCUUUAGAGUGCAUGUGUAGUUCCAGGACCCAAACUACAUGCAGUGAAGUGCUGCCUUGCCCAUACAUGAUGCUGACCUUCACCCUGUGGGUCUGAGCCACAAAGUGCGCUCUUGUGGUCAUUUAAACGUCUGCCUCCGGCUGGGCAGCUCACUUAAGGUGAGGAGUUUGAGACCAGCCUGGCCAACAUUGUGAAACCUGUCUCUACUAAAAAUACAAAAAUUAGCCAAGCAUGGUGGCAUGCGCCUGUAAUCCCAGCUACUUGGGAAGCUGAGGCACAAGAAUCGCUUGCAUCUGGGACGGGGAGGUGGCAGUGAAUCAAGAUUGCGCCAUUGCACUCUAGCCCAGGCAACAGAGCAAGACUCUGUCUCAAAAACUAAAUUGAUAAAUAAAAUAAACAGUCUGCCUCCUAGCCAAUGCUAAUCUUUAAGAAGCUGCCUCUCACAGGUCUGCCAGUCUCAAGUUUACCCUUCAUGAUCUCUCCACAGUCUUCUAACCCCCAACUUAGGAACUUCGCAGGAUUCCUGACUUCAGGGUUUCUUCCCUUUUACUAGACACUCAGCUUCAGACCUAAAUCAGAGAGACAAUUUCCCUGCUUUUCGCAAUACUUUUGAUACAAGCUCAUUCCACACUCCACCCCUCUUCGUAAAACACAGGCAUCAAUUCGAGCUUUGCAUUGGUUAACAUUUUCAAGGUUCGGCCUUUGCGGUACCAUCAUGAGCAUAUCAAAUGAGACGAUGUAUUCCAAAGUAUUUUGUAAUCUAUUAAGUAAUAUAGAAGUGGUUAGUUAGGUCGGCCAGAUACCAGGGCGUUAGGACUCUUUUCUUUGCAGAGUUGUUGAGGCUAUACAGCCUGAUGUCACAGCAGGAGUCUCGGCUGACACCCUAAGCAGUUGACAGUGAAUCACUUGCAGGACUAACUAUGCAGAGCUGCUUCAAACUCAAGAUGGCUCAGUGCCCUUAGGCACAACCAGAUCCAUUGCCUUGGAACGCCAUCCCUCCCAAGAGGGAUUGGGAUCAUCCAGUGGCCUUAUCUAGUUGACGAAAAUAGAUCUACAGAAGACUACCCAUGAACAGCCACUAUCACAUCCAUGGGACCUUUGAGUAGGUCUAGGUAGGCGUACACUUUACCAAAAACCAGGAUUCUUAUGACACCAGCCCUAAGGAUCUUCAACCUAUAAUAACUGAAAAACCAAAUGUCAAACACAGGUCUGGUCCUUAUGGAAGCCAUUCUAACUUUGAACCAAACUUGGUUAACAAAACUUGAAAUCUGUAUUGUCCAAGGGACCUACAGAGUGUCCAUUGUGUGCCAUGAGCUUGAUAUUUAGCCAAGUACAUUGCCUGCAUUGUACUACAAAAGACUACACCAAGCAGUUGGUCCUGAUGCUGGUGCUUAUACUCAACAAUUCUUCCAAAAGGCAGAGAACCAAAUAAGGAGGACAGAGCACUGGUCCCACACUAUGGGAAUAAGACAAAAAUACUGCUCAGGCAUCUCCUAGUUUUAGAAUCAACACAUCAGAAAAGACAUCUGGUAUAAGAAGAGAAAGACAGUGGGUUCGCCACACUGCUGACAUUAUACAGCCUCCCUCCUUUGCUGCUUCUGUGUCUUUCCACAGAUUGAAUUAUUGAGCAGAGCUGAAGGUUCUGUCUCCUUUCAUGCUCACUACAUUCCCUCCUAUAGAAAAACUACAAAAGCCUACUCUUUGGGGAAUUGAACCAACACAGAAUGUUCCUUGCAUAUACCAGUAGGAAAAACUGGUUAAUGACUAGGUGGGUUGGGUGGGCACUCAGAGCAGCUGUGUCAUCAGUAGUUCAAGGCAAUAUAAUAAUGAGUCUGUGUUCACUUCCAGGGACAUAAUGACUAAGAAUUGGCACCUGCCCUCAAGGAGCCCACAGUCUAGUAGGGAAGGCAGGCUCACAAAUGGAGUAACUUAACUGCUUUGCACAAGGUAGAGGCAGCACCUAGCAUAGAAGGGAUAAUGACCCCUCAGGGGUGGAGAGGGGUCAGAGAUGACAUUUCGGAGGAGGUAAGUUGUGAAGAAACAGCUCAAGUUUAUCAGCCCCAAAAGGGGAUUAGGGGACAGAUCCUGGUACCCAAUGAAAUGGUUCCCAUGUUUCACCUGUGUCACCAAUCUCACUAAGGGACCUUCCCCAACUUUCCGUGAGGGGCUCUGCCCAUGCAGACACAACCUAUGAGUACAAAGUCACAUUCUAAUCCACCAAUUCUCUCUCACAUUCUUUCAUAGGUCUCACAAGUAAACCAACAGCUGAAAUGCAGAUCUGGCUACAAGAAGUUAAAUCCCUUUAGGCCUUUCCAAAGUGGCUGAGCUGUAGCUGGCAGUGGAGUUUUUCUCUGGACUACGAAAUCACUGAGGGAAAAGGGGCUGGAGAAAACUGGAACCAGCUACAGGGCUGGGGGAGUGGAAUGAAAAGCAUGUUCCUUUCUAUUAAAAUCAGAUGUUACCAAAUUUCAUCUGUUUUCUUUCCAUGUACAGAAAUGCCCUUGAAACAUGUUUGAGACAUGUUUAGGAAAAAACACAUUAAGAUAUUUUUAUUCUUAUGAGAGUAUAACAUGGAGGGAUUUGAAGCCAUCUGCUAUCAAUAGUCAAUAUACAAAUCUUAUCUACUUGAUCUCUUAAAUGUUACCAAGUGGAACCACAUCCUGAUCAACAAAGAGUCUCAUCAUAUUAAGCAAAAUCAUCUUUAGCAGAGAGCAAUGUGCAGUUUCCUCUUGUUGCUCUAAAGGCAGUAGCAUGGGAUAUUAGUUACAGCAUUAGCAUAAUCCUGAGCUUACUUUAUUUUAAAAGCAUGGAACAAAUAUUUGAUGAUGCCUCAAGUUUUACCGAACUCAAGUUUUUCCAGCUGGCAAACCACAGGCUGAAAAGUUAAGUCAUAUAAGGCUUUAUAGAUCCAUGUACUAAAAAUAUUCCCAGCCAAUGGGUAAUUUUUAAAGCUGCUCUAAUCCUACCUGUAGGUGGAUAAAUUUUAAGUCUGAACAACAUUUUAAGGGGUAGGCUUUUUGUUAACCAUAGCCAAGAGGUAAAAACAGUCCAAACCCAAUUCUGGCAUUCAUUUCCAAGGUCAUGUUUGAAAUUAAAAUUUAUGUGUAUAAAAAGGAUUUACAAACUUAAGGCUGAACCCAAAAUGUGACAUUUUAGUUACCAUGACAAAUGACAAAUCUAGCCCUUUGACUUCACACUUAGCUGAAGUGCCUGCAGCUUACUGCAAGCUCAGCUCUGAGAGGAUGAGCGGAGAGUAGGCUUCAAAAGGUUCUGUGGUUUGGCUGUGGGGCCUGACCUCAGAAUCCACCUACUCAGAAAGGUCUGGAUCCUAGGAAUCUCUAAAGAGGCUCCAAAGAGGUGGCACGCACGCACCUAUAUUCUUUGGGGGUAGAGGGUUAUGAAGGAUAAAAAAGACAAAUUUAACUUGAACAACUAGAAAAUAAAUGGACUGAAAAGUAUGUUUAAACCCCUUGACAGAUCAAAAAUCUGUAAAAUAUAUAAUUAUCCUAAGUUAGGGGCUGAGUCUGUGAGAAGGCAAGGAAUACAGCUUCAAUGAUCUGGAGUAAGGAUGGAUGUUUACCUUGGGUAACUGUAACACAGUCAGCUUCUUACUGGGGGUGUCAUCAGAGAAGCCACAGUGACAGUAUUCACACUGCCUUGGCAUGGCAGAUAAAGGCAUACAUCCUGAGCUAGGUCACUUGACCCGUGACCCACUGAGCAUCCCACCUCUUCCCACCCUGGUGUCCUGCCAUGCCCUGCCCUGCGGUGUGCUCAACAAUCCCUCAGCCAGCCCUUCCCAGUUGGUCUGUAUAGGAACUAGUGAAGAUGGGACUUUAGAUGUCUAACUGCAAACAUCCUAGAGGCUUCCGACAGAUAUCACUUGUUCUUCUGUAGUAGCCCUGCUCAGGCAUCCAAUCCACCAUGGCUUUUAGAGGUAAAUACUUUGG